RNAcentral lists this ribosomal RNA (769 nucleotides) under uncultured Actinomycetes bacterium. Its description in RNAcentral is "bacterial SSU rRNA". It matches the Rfam family "Bacterial small subunit ribosomal RNA", at positions 8 to 795 of the family's 1533-position model. Lineage: Bacteria; Bacillati; Actinomycetota; Actinomycetes. The record is from RNAcentral.
AGAGUUUGAUUAUGGCUCAGGAUGAACGCUAGCGAUAGGCCUAAUACAUGCAAGUCGAACGAGGUCCAACCUUCGGGUGAAGACCGAGUGGCGAACGGGUGAGUAACACGUGGGGAACCUGCCCUUCUCUCUGGGAUAACCUCGGGAAACCGAAGCUAAUACCGGAUACUCCUUGCGGACCGCAUGGUCUGCUCGGGAAAGCUCCGGCGGAGAAGGAUGGCCCCGCGGCCCAUUAGCUUGUUGGUGGGGUAACGGCCCACCAAGGCGACGAUGGGUAGCCGAGCUGCGAGGCUGAUCGGCCACACUGGGACUGAGACACGGCCCAGACUCCUACGGGAGGCAGCAGUGGGGAAUCUUGCGCAAUGGGCGAAAGCCUGACGCAGCAACGCCGCGUGCGGGAUGAAGGCUCUCGGGUCGUAAACCGCUUUCAGCAGGGAUGAAAAUGACAGUACCUGCAGAAGAAGCCCCGGCUAAAUACGUGCCAGCAGCCGCGGUAAUACGUAUGGGGCAAGCGUUAUCCGGAUUCAUUGGGCGUAAAGCGCGCGUAGGCGGCUUGUUAAGUCAGGCGUGAAAUCCGGGGGCUCAACCCGCGGCUUGCGUCUGAAACUGGCAGGCUUGAGUCUGGUAGAGGAAAGUGGAAUUCCUGGUGUAGCGGUGAAAUGCGCAGAUAUCAGGAGGAACACCAGUGGCGAAGGCGGCUUUCUGGGCCACGACUGACGCUGAGGCGCGAAAGCUAGGGGAGCGAACAGGAUUAGAUACCCUGGUAGUC